This 846-nucleotide long non-coding RNA is filed under the name Rattus norvegicus (Norway rat). Its description in RNAcentral is "long non-coding RNA NONRATT033647". The record is from RNAcentral. Lineage: Eukaryota; Metazoa; Chordata; Mammalia; Rodentia; Muridae.
GAGAAAGGACUCAGGGGCAUUCUUUUGAGGCAGUCUACUACUCAGUAAGCUUGAAUCCUAAUGUCUGACUUAAUGUGUGAAUGGCUACAGAAUUUUUAACUGGAAGAUGGCUACCAGUGCUUUUAGGUAUUUGGCUGGUCUGCUGCUUCCUCCCAGCAAUGCCUAUUCUCAUGGCCAAGGAACCACAGCUGCUAGCCUAUGGAGAUGUCUCUGGUACACUUUACAGAGCAUUGUCCAGUCUCCAGCAAUCACAGAGACCUUCACUUAAAACAGGUAAGAUUUCUAUUGAUGUGACCCAAACCAACUUGGGACAGGUUGAUUUCAGGUUACAACUCUCAGGUCACAGAACAUCUGUGAAGGAAGUCAGAUCAGAAACUCAAGGCAGGACAGAAGAAGAAGCCAGAGAGGAGAGCGACUUACUGGCAUGCUCCCCACAGUUUGCUCAACCUGCUUUCUUAUAGUACCCAGGACUACCAGCCCAAGGUGGUACCAUCCAGAGUGGGCUGGGCCUUCUCACAUCAGUUAUUAUUGAAGUAAAUGUCCUGCAGAAUCUCACAGGCCAAUCUAGUGGGCCAUUUUCAAUUGGGAAUAUUUCCUUUUCCCAACUGACUUUAACUUGUGUCAAGUAGGCAGGACACAUACCUUCUAAUGUUUUAACUAAGGUAAUCUUUACCUUAAAAAACAGUUGUUGACAGGGAAACUACGAAUGCAUCUAGUUAGCAAACUAAGCCCAAGUCUUCAGCUUCAAAUACUUAAGGGACAAGAAACAUUGCUGCUUCUUCAGCAGUGCCGCCUUUGGACGGAUAGGGGUAUUAGAUGCUGGGAGAUGAACACACACUGUUCAUG